Molecule: ribosomal RNA, 253 nt
Filed under: uncultured bacterium
Lineage: Bacteria
Description: partial 16S ribosomal RNA
Rfam family: Bacterial small subunit ribosomal RNA
Source: RNAcentral
UACGGAGGAUCCGAGCGUUAUCCGGAUUUAUUGGGUUUAAAGGGUGCGUAGGCGGCCAGUUAAGUCAGGGGUGAAAUACGGUGGCUCAACCAUCGCAGUGCCUUUGAUACUGAUGGGCUUGAAUCCAUUUGAAGUGGGCGGAAUAAGACAAGUAGCGGUGAAAUGCAUAGAUAUGUCUUAGAACUCCGAUUGCGAAGGCAGCUCACUAAGCUGGUAUUGACGCUGAUGCACGAAAGCGUGGGGAUCGAACAUG